RNAcentral lists this ribosomal RNA (998 nucleotides) under Triticum aestivum (bread wheat). RNAcentral's name for it is "partial small subunit ribosomal RNA". The record is from RNAcentral. Lineage: Eukaryota; Viridiplantae; Streptophyta; Magnoliopsida; Poales; Poaceae.
CCGCGACCCGACCCAACGGCCACCAAGGUCGCUCGCCCUUCUCACAGCCGCCGCGCGCGCUAUAUUAUAGCCGGAGCAGCGCGCGCGCCUACGAGCACUGCACGGUCCCCCCUCCCUCUCACAGGACGCAACAACCAGCCCACCGCCCCCGAUUGUCGCCGUCGUCGGGUCUCUGCUCUCCGUCUCCCACGGGAGCCUGUGAUCUGCGCCGCACUGUGCCAUGUCGUCGUCGUCGUCGUCCACCGCGGCGGCGGGCUCCGCGCUGGGCGGCUCCCACGCCGGCCUCGCCCUCGCCGCCACCGCCAUGGCGCUCUCCGGCACCCUCGUGCUCUUCUCGCUCUGCCGCGCCAAGCAGACGGACCACCACCUCGUCUCCUCCGACGCCGCCGCCACGUCCCCGUCUCCCGCCCGGCUCCGGCCCUGCCUCUCCUCCUCCGAGAAGCGGAAGCGGGAGAAGGCGCGGCGCGGGAGCAUGAAGCGGGUGCGCUUCGCCGCCGACGUCGUUGACCACGGCCCAGCUCGCCCGGCGCCGGAGGUGGAGGAGGCGGUGGCGUCGGGGCCGGGGCCGUCCUGCAGGGGCGCCGCGAUGCCGGCGAACCGGGAGGCGCUGUACCGCGGCAUGCUCCGCGGCCGCUCCAUGCUCAGGACCGCCUGCUCCUACUAAGCUGCCGGCGUCAAUUAACCCCCGCCGUUUAAUCCAUCCCAUCCCCGUCUUAGUCCGGCCGAAGCUGCCAGUGCCUUUCGCGUUUCUUGUUCAUUAGCGUCGCCGCUGAUUGGGAGAUUUUUGUAAUUAGUGAGCAUCCCGUACGCUACGCGCGAGCGAUCUGUGUGGUGCGUCUUAUUAAUUGUUCUACUCGUUGUCGUAACUCGUACGAGUGCGUACUGUUUCUACCUGCGUAAGUAGCCAAAUUGGUCCAAGAACAAGGGGUCCUUGCAUUGUUCUACCUGAUCUAAUGGUUAAUGAAAGUUGCCUUUGAUCCUGUUCUUCAUUUCAUUCC